RNAcentral lists this ribosomal RNA (34 nucleotides) under Ecytonucleospora hepatopenaei. Its description in RNAcentral is "Enterocytozoon hepatopenaei partial 5.8S ribosomal RNA". The record is from RNAcentral. Lineage: Eukaryota; Fungi; Microsporidia; Enterocytozoonidae.
AUCCCUGGUACGGGAUCGCUAGGGUCUAGCAGCG